This 301-nucleotide ribosomal RNA is filed under the name uncultured bacterium. RNAcentral's name for it is "partial 16S ribosomal RNA". It matches the Rfam family "Bacterial small subunit ribosomal RNA", at positions 509 to 807 of the family's 1533-position model. The record is from RNAcentral.
CAGCCGCCGCGGUAAUACGAACCGUGCGAACGUUAUUCGGAAUCACUGGGCUUAAAGCGCGUGUAGGCGGGCCGCCACGUCGGCUGCUGAAAUCCCCCGGCUCAACCGGGGAGGUGGCACCGAUACGAGCGGCCUCGAGGGGGGUAGGGGGGACCGGAACUUCCGGUGGAACGGUGAAAUGCGUUGAGAUCGGAAGGAACGCCCGUGGCGAAAGCGAGUCCCUGGACCCUUUCUGACGCUGAGACGCGAAAGCCAGGGGAGCGAACAGGAUUAGAUACCCCAGUAGUCCCUGUCUCUUAUA